GCAACCGGAAUGCGAAUUACGAUGUG
Molecule: small RNA, 26 nt
Filed under: Bombyx mori (domestic silkworm)
Lineage: Eukaryota; Metazoa; Arthropoda; Insecta; Lepidoptera; Bombycidae
Description: ovarian small RNA-16221
Source: RNAcentral